CUCGGGCCCAUAAAUCUCAAUCAUACGGUGGCACAUAGUUCUGGGGUAUGAAACCAUAGUAACUUACCCAACUCGGUGCUAAAUACUAAUACCUUUAGUUAUCUAUACUCAUCUCAUGGAAAUCCACUUUAAAAUAAUCUCGUGGUUUAUAAAAAACCCAAUUAUAAAAUCCACUAUGACCGUUAAGGUCAAAACUUUCUCAAUAAUCUCAAAAUAC
RNAcentral lists this long non-coding RNA (217 nucleotides) under Capsicum annuum. RNAcentral describes it as "long non-coding RNA (CANN_LNC008336)". The record is from RNAcentral. Lineage: Eukaryota; Viridiplantae; Streptophyta; Magnoliopsida; Solanales; Solanaceae.